This 497-nucleotide ribosomal RNA is filed under the name uncultured bacterium. Its description in RNAcentral is "partial 16S ribosomal RNA". It matches the Rfam family "Bacterial small subunit ribosomal RNA", at positions 28 to 507 of the family's 1533-position model. The record is from RNAcentral.
GAUGAACGCUGGCGGCGUGCCUAAUACAUGCAAGUCGAGCGAACGGACGAGAAGCUUGCUUCUCUGAUGUUAGCGGCGGACGGGUGAGUAACACGUGGAUAACCUACCUAUAAGACUGGGAUAACUUCGGGAAACCGGAGCUAAUACCGGAUAAUAUUUUGAACCGCAUGGUUCAAAAGUGAAAGACGGUCUUGCUGUCACUUAUAGAUGGAUCCGCGCUGCAUUAGCUAGUUGGUAAGGUAACGGCUUACCAAGGCAACGAUGCAUAGCCGACCUGAGAGGGUGAUCGGCCACACUGGAACUGAGACACGGUCCAGACUCCUACGGGAGGCAGCAGUAGGGAAUCUUCCGCGAUGGGCGAAAGCCUGCCGGAGCAACGCCGCGUGAAUGCUGAAGGUCUUCGGAUCGUAAAACUCUGUUAUUAGGGGAGAACAUAUGUGUAAGUAACUGUGCACAUCUUGACGGUACCUAAUCAGAAAGCCCCGGCUAACUACGUG